Molecule: transfer RNA, 72 nt
Filed under: Ictidomys tridecemlineatus (thirteen-lined ground squirrel)
Lineage: Eukaryota; Metazoa; Chordata; Mammalia; Rodentia; Sciuridae
Description: Spermophilus tridecemlineatus (thirteen-lined ground squirrel) tRNA
Rfam family: tRNA
About the family: Transfer RNA (tRNA) molecules are approximately 80 nucleotides in length. Their secondary structure includes four short double-helical elements and three loops (D, anti-codon, and T loops). Further hydrogen bonds mediate the characteristic L-shaped molecular structure. tRNAs have two regions of fundamental functional importance: the anti-codon, which is responsible for specific mRNA codon recognition, and the 3' end, to which the tRNAs corresponding amino acid is attached (by aminoacyl-tRNA synthetases). tRNAs cope with the degeneracy of the genetic code in two manners: having more than one tRNA (with a specific anti-codon) for a particular amino acid; and 'wobble' base-pairing, i.e. permitting non-standard base-pairing at the 3rd anti-codon position.
Source: Rfam by way of RNAcentral
GGGGAUGUUGCUUAGUGUUAGAGUACUUGCCUAACAUUUGCAAGGUCCUAGAUUUAAUCCCUAGUAUCUCUA